This 301-nucleotide ribosomal RNA is filed under the name uncultured bacterium. Its description in RNAcentral is "partial 16S ribosomal RNA". It matches the Rfam family "Bacterial small subunit ribosomal RNA", at positions 509 to 809 of the family's 1533-position model. The record is from RNAcentral.
CAGCCGCCGCGGGAAUACGGAGGGUGCAAGCGUUAAUCGGAAUUACUGGGCGUAAAGCGCACGCAGGCGGUCUGACAAGUCAGAUGUGAAAUCCCCGGGCUUAACCUGGGAACUGCAUUUGAAACUGUCAGGCUGGAGUCUUGUAGAGGGGGGUGGAAUUCCAGGUGUAGCGGUGAAAUGCGUAGAGAUCUGGAGGAAUACCGGUGGCGAAGGCGGCCCCCUGGACAAAGACUGACGCUCAGGUGCGAAAGCGUGGGGAGCAAACAGGAUUAGAUACCCGCGUAGUCCCUGUCUCUUAUCC